Molecule: ribosomal RNA, 403 nt
Filed under: uncultured bacterium
Lineage: Bacteria
Description: partial 16S ribosomal RNA
Rfam family: Bacterial small subunit ribosomal RNA
Source: RNAcentral
GACGAACGCUGGCGGCGUGCCUAAUACAUGCAAGUCGAACGCAGUGGGGACGGGUGAGUAACACGUGGGUAACCUCCCAUCAGAGGGGAUAACACUUGGAAACAGGUGCUAAACCGAUACUGAUGGAUGGACCCGCGGUGCAUUAGCUAGUUGGUGAGGUAACGGCGCACCAAGGCCACGAUGCAUAGCCGACCUGAGAGGGGGAUCGGCCACACAGAUAAUGAAAAACGGCCCAAACGCAUACGGGAGGCAGCGGUAGGGAAGCUUCGGAAAUGGACAAAAGUCUGAACGAGCAACGCCACGUGAGUGAAGAAGGUUUUCGGAUCGUAAAACUCUGUUGUUAGAGAAGCGGUAUCUAACCAGAAAGCCACGGCUAACUACGUGCCAGCAGCCGCGGUAAUUC